This 402-nucleotide ribosomal RNA is filed under the name uncultured bacterium. RNAcentral describes it as "partial 16S ribosomal RNA". It matches the Rfam family "Bacterial small subunit ribosomal RNA", at positions 30 to 525 of the family's 1533-position model. The record is from RNAcentral.
AUUGAACGCUGGCGGCAGGCCUAACACAUGCAAGUCGAGCGAGCGGCGGACGGGUGAGUAAUGUAUGGGGACUGCCCGAUAGAGGUGGAUAACUACUGGAAACGGUAGCUAAUACCGCAUACUAUCGGAUAACCCAUAUGGGAUUAGCUAGUAGGUGAGGUAAUGGCUCACCUAGGCGACGAUCCCUAGCUGGUCUGAGAGGAUGAUCAGCCAAACUGGGACGGAGACAGGGCCCAGACUCCUACGGAGGAAGCAGGGGGGAAUAUUGCACAAUGGGAGCAAGCCUGAUGAAGCCAUGCGGGGUGUAUGAAGAAGGCCCUAGGGUUGUAAAGGACUUUCAGUCGGGAGGCGUUACCGACAGAAGAAGCACGGGCUAACUCCGUGCCAGCAGCCGCGGUAAUU